UUCCAAACUCUUGAAUGGUGAUAAGUGUACAAAAUGCAAACUGUUUCCGACAUUUAUAAAAAAUGCAUUUCACUUAUUGCUAGCUUGCUGCCAUGACGACAUACCACCUUUCUAUUAAAUGGCUAAAUGUUUUUCAAAUAUCCAUCCAUCUAUUGUCUGUACCCACUUAUACUUGCAGCAGUCAUUGGACGAUAACCUGACAACUCAAGUUCAAAUGUGUGUGAAGGCAGACGUGAAAAUAAUUAACUCAGAAUAAGACCUCAAACAGGGAGAAAUAAACUACAAGUGUGUAGGUCUCAUUAGCAUUUUAGCAGCAAGGCUGGCAGAGAGGCAGACUCACAAGAUUGGCUAAUGACAGAGAUGAGACACUUUACAGAGAGGGUGAUGGUGACGGCUUCCUCCCUUCACAAACACAAGCUUAUGCAACACUGGCUGUAAGGAAAACUGACUGAUAAGACAAACAGCAGAGCAGUGGAGGAGGAGGAGAUGGCAAAGUGAGACAUAGCAGCAGAGCAGAGAGAUCUUAGAAAACACUUUCCAUGCUGCUUCUGUCGAGGGAGGUGUUCUUGCAGCAGCUAAUGUCUGGUUCGACAUAAUACAUUUUACAGACUCAAUGGUGGGGGAAACAGGCCGAACACAUAGGGUUGCAACUGUGGAGAAAGCUGAAGUUCAGACCGACUGCUUGGAAGAGAGGAUGCAGCAGUGAUCAAUGUUUCUAGAAAACAAAUUAGUUUAUUUUAGGACCUACUGUGCUCCGAAUCGGAGUAUUUGUGAGAACUGAAAGAAUGAGAUCCUGAAUCUAAGAUGGAAAGAAGGAGUGUUUUCUCCAAAGGGUGGAUUUGGUUUAGAAGGGUAAGAAGUCCCAAGAUCUGUGGCUUCUGAAAAACACAAUGAUAACAAUAAGAAUGUAACCAUUUUGUUUGGUUCUGCCCAGAACCACAACUUUGUUGAGGGAUAAUAUGGCUGAGUGUCACCAAGGAGACAGAUAUUGGGAUUCCUUUGUACCAUGACUUGGUUUUGGAUAAGAGAAAAAAGAUAAUAGAUGGAUAUUGAACUGCCAGGAUUCCAAACAAAAAUAUAGCAAAUAUUUAAGUUCCAUGGGCUUUUCUCUGUAAAGAGUCAGCUAGAAAUCAGAACAUGAAAAAGGUGAAAUAAUAUUUAGGAAAUAAAAAAGUAUGAACAACCAGAGAACUGACCAGAGUAAUGAUGGUCCCCAUUUUAAAGCAUUAUGAAGAAAUUGUGCCUUGCAAAAGUUUUUAAACCACUAUAAUAUUUUUUAUCUUACCUGACAACUAUAAACGGUUAAAUGGCAAUUUUCAGGCGCAGGGCUUAAAAACACGUCCAAAGGCCCAAAGAGAGAUGUAGCAGAUGAAAAAAAUAAUAAUUUAAUCUUAGCUGGUUCCCAGAAGUGUCUGCAACAAGAAGAAGUGUGAGAUUAUUAUCAGAACAGGACAGGUGAAGAGGAAAUCAUUCACCACAUCACCAGAUGGGACAUUGUUGGGUAGGAUUCCACAAAAUGGAUCAAGAAGAUCCAGAGGUGAGCAUCAGAAUAGACAGGAAGAUAUCGAGUGGGUAUUUUCCAGUCUGCUCAGAUUCCCUAUAGAGGAAGAACUGGAGCUCACUAAAGACAAAAUCACUGAAUUCUUUCUGUUCUGAUUUUUCUCGAUAAAGCCAUUCAUGGUUCAGGGAGCCCCAAAACAAAGGAGCUAAGACAACCAGGUAUUUUUCUGCGUCAGCCCGAAGCUUUUAGACAGACAGACAGACAGAGAGAGAAAAGAGAGAAACAUUCCUUUAAUUACUCUUCUUUCAAUCUAUAUAAAUGCCUUUAGCUAGUUUGAAAGGUAUUGACGGUUUUGACUCAUGAACCUCUUAAAAGACGCAACACGUUAUAUUUUUCGGCAUGUUUUCAGUAAUUUCUCUGAGACAGCUCUGAAUUAAAGCAGCGAAACAAUAAUAUUCAGUGGAUGAUUUGGAUGAAAACGAGAGAAAGUCAUUCUUACCAUCUGUGAAAUUGUUUUAUUCAAUCUGAGGUGUCAGUAUUUUUCUCCUCAUGAGAUUUAUGUUCAGAAUAAAGCCAUUUUCUGUUAAAACAGCUGGACUUUUUCUAUUUUUUUUUGUCAUCUUAAAGAACUAACUUUGAAGACGAAAGGUUUGUACAACAUCUGCAACUGUGGAAAAAAUAAAAUAUUGGGCCAACAUAGGUGUGAACACCUA
This is a long non-coding RNA of Gambusia affinis (western mosquitofish), 2214 nucleotides long. RefSeq lists it as uncharacterized. The record is from RefSeq and is a predicted model, not a curated record. The transcript is spliced from 3 exons. Lineage: Eukaryota; Metazoa; Chordata; Actinopteri; Cyprinodontiformes; Poeciliidae.